RNAcentral lists this small nucleolar RNA (135 nucleotides) under Suricata suricatta (meerkat). RNAcentral's name for it is "Small nucleolar RNA SNORA64/SNORA10 family (ENSSSUG00005022661.1)". It matches the Rfam family "Small nucleolar RNA SNORA64/SNORA10 family". From Rfam's summary of the family: This family belongs to the H/ACA class of small nucleolar RNAs (snoRNAs) which act as guides in the the modification of uridines to pseudouridines. This family includes the human snoRNAs U64 and ACA10 and mouse MBI-29. The record is from Rfam by way of RNAcentral. Lineage: Eukaryota; Metazoa; Chordata; Mammalia; Carnivora; Herpestidae.
CCUCUCUCAGCUCCGCUUAAUCAUACUGUGUGUGUGUGCUUGGCGUGUUUUCAGAGAGAGAGAGAGAGAAAGGCCCUCCUAAUGCACGACAGACUGGCCCAAAGUGGCCUCUCUGUUCCUAGGAGUGCGACAGUU